Molecule: ribosomal RNA, 446 nt
Filed under: uncultured bacterium
Lineage: Bacteria
Description: bacterial SSU rRNA
Rfam family: Bacterial small subunit ribosomal RNA
Source: RNAcentral
CCCAGACUCCUACGGGAGGCAGCAGUCGGGAAUAUUGCGCAAUGGAGGAAACCCUGAUGCAGCGACGCCGCGUGAGUGAAGAAGUAUUUCGGUAUGUAAAGCUCUAUCAGCAGGGAAGAAAAUGACGGUACCUGAUUAAGAAGCCCCGGCUAACUACGUGCCAGCAGCCGCGGUAAUACGUAGGGGGCAAGCGUUAUCCGGAUUUACUGGGUGUAAAGGGAGCGUAGACGGCAGCACAAGUCUGGAGUGAAAUGCCGGGGCUUAACCCUGGAACUGCUUUGGAAACUGUGCAGCUAGAGUGCAGGAGAGGUAAGUGGAAUUCCUAGUGUAGCGGUGAAAUGCGUAGAUAUUAGGAGGAACACCAGUGGCGAAGGCGGCUUACUGGACUGUAACUGACGUUGAGGCUCGAAAGCGUGGGGAGCAAACAGGAUUAGAUACCCGAGUAA